AAGCAACACUCUGUGGCAGAUGAUUGAAUCUGUUUGACAUAAUUUGAGCUUGCUAUAGGACAAAGUCUAACCUAUUCCUGUGUUCUGUAUGUGACAAGCCAUUAUGUAGAGUUAAACAGU
Molecule: small nucleolar RNA, 120 nt
Filed under: Castor canadensis (American beaver)
Lineage: Eukaryota; Metazoa; Chordata; Mammalia; Rodentia; Castoridae
Description: Small nucleolar RNA SNORA28 (ENSCCNG00000004030.1)
Rfam family: Small nucleolar RNA SNORA28
About the family: ACA28 is a member of the H/ACA class of snoRNA that guide the sites of modification of uridines to pseudouridines.
Source: Rfam by way of RNAcentral